GGAGGGUAUUAACCGAAGGC
This 20-nucleotide microRNA is filed under the name Echinococcus granulosus. RNAcentral describes it as "egr-miR-10268-5p". The record is from miRBase by way of RNAcentral. Lineage: Eukaryota; Metazoa; Platyhelminthes; Cestoda; Cyclophyllidea; Taeniidae.